RNAcentral lists this long non-coding RNA (1242 nucleotides) under Bos indicus x Bos taurus (hybrid cattle). RNAcentral describes it as "lncRNA (ENSBIXG00000013894.1)". Lineage: Eukaryota; Metazoa; Chordata; Mammalia; Artiodactyla; Bovidae. The record is from RNAcentral.
ACUUUCAGAGAGCGCGUGCCUCGUUCGGCCUCCUACGCAGAAACCCACAGCAGAAUGUGCGCGGCGAACACGUGGCCGCGCUGCCGUCGCUUCCCCCGAGUCCUUCCGCGCACAGGAGGGUCCUUGACCAAGCACAGGAGGGUCCCAUCGCACACAGGACGGCUCCUCUGCUGGGCUCCUUCGAGAUGCUCAGGGAUCUCAAGACGGAGCAUGUUGGAGAAGCAAGUGGUCAUCACAAGGCCCCUGGGUCCACGGAGGAACCUCUGCAGGAGAUUCUGAAAAUACACUCUCACGUACUCAACUGACUGGAUGAGAAUGCAUCUGGCCGGAAGAAGCAGAAGCAAACCCACAGAAAGAAAUCCCCACAAACUGUCUUCCAGAAUGACCACGCCGCAGCCUCCCAAGGUCGCCUGAUCCCCUCCGACUCUGUAACAAGCACGCUCGCUCCACAGGGAGCCCAGGGCCCUUUCCGGAAGAGACGGGGCCCCAGACAAAAAGUUAAAUGGAUUUAAAUGUAAGCAGGUCUAAAAAGAAAGCAGAGUUUCCUUUUAGAAGCUUAAGAAAACAAUUAGAAAUAAAAGGAGGCCAGAAAGCACAGUUAAUGAAGGGGCCCGAGAAGCAAAGGCGAUGGGGAAAUUCACCCGCUUCACGAACACUUUUGCAAGGGCGAGACGGAGGGACCGCACCCAGAGCUCUUCUGACCUUGCCCUUGACUCACUGGGCUCUCACAGCUCACAUCCGCCCUCCGGGUGAGCUUAAAGUCGCCGCUCCAUGGAAAUGUUUGUUCUGCCUCUGGAGCAGAAGACACCGCUUCUGGUGGCCCUGGUGGCCCUGUCUCUGGGGCUCUGAGGUCCUGCCAGGCCAGGAGGAGGCUCUCUUCUUGUCUCACGAGCAGGAUUCGUCCAUGUGCAACAUGAGUCCUGUUGAAUACUUGGCAGCCGCCUUCCCAUACUUGAGUUGUUUGUCAUUUCUGGGGCUGCUGAUGCUGCUAUGAUCUCCCUUUUGGGAGAAAUUUACAGGCACAUGUUGACCCAGCUGAAUGGGAACAGGGAGCAACAGGAAUCUCAGGAACAAGGACCAUCGCCGACCAGAGAGGGUGAAUCUGCUCCUUCUCUGGACGGCACCCUCCGGCGAGCCGCUCAGCGCCCCGUCGGGCUGGCCACAGAAGGCUCUGUGACUCCAGUGCUGGAAACCCAGAUCCACUCCCAACCUGGCCUUGAAAUAAAUGUGCCUUUCCUUUCA